This 489-nucleotide ribosomal RNA is filed under the name uncultured Gammaproteobacteria bacterium. RNAcentral describes it as "bacterial SSU rRNA". It matches the Rfam family "Bacterial small subunit ribosomal RNA", at positions 9 to 489 of the family's 1533-position model. Lineage: Bacteria; Pseudomonadati; Pseudomonadota; Gammaproteobacteria. The record is from RNAcentral.
GAGUUUGAUCCUGGCUCAGAUUGAACGCUGGCGGCAUGCCUAACACAUGCAAGUCGAACGGUAACGCGGAGAGCUUGCUCUCUGGCGACGAGUGGCGGACGGGUGAGUAAUACUUAGGAAUCUGCCCAUUAGUGGGGGACAACUCGGGGAAACCCGAGCUAAUACCGCAUACGCCCUACGGGGGAAAGCGGGGGAUCGAAAGACCUCGCGCUAAUGGAUGAGCCUAAGUCGGAUUAGCUUGUUGGUGGGGUAACGGCCUACCAAGGCGACGAUCCGUAGCUGGUCUGAGAGGACGAUCAGCCACACUGGGACUGAGACACGGCCCAGACUCCUACGGGAGGCAGCAGUGGGGAAUAUUGGACAAUGGGGGCAACCCUGAUCCAGCAAUGCCGCGUGUGUGAAGAAGGCCUGCGGGUUGUAAAGCACUUUCAGUAGAGAAGAAAAGCCUGGCGCUAAUACCGCCGGGUCUUGACGUAACCUACAGAAGAA